Molecule: long non-coding RNA, 557 nt
Filed under: Arabidopsis lyrata
Lineage: Eukaryota; Viridiplantae; Streptophyta; Magnoliopsida; Brassicales; Brassicaceae
Description: long non-coding RNA (ALYR_LNC000757)
Source: RNAcentral
ACAAAAAUAAGAAUGAAGAAAGUAAUACCUUGUUGGAUUUGGUAGCAUAGAAGCCCAUACAAAGAAAGCCCAUUCCAAAGUCAGAUUUGAGCCCAUAUACCGUGACAUGGAUGAAUGUAACACAAGAAUUUCUGUGUUUGUUGAUCCUCUCACUUGGGAUUUUGGUGAUGAAACACAAAUUGGUCUUCUUCCUCCGGAGGCGACCGUAGUCUAAAGCCAUCGAAACACCGAACCUGUUAACUGGUCGUCAAUUUCACUAUCCCUCUCUUGGCCAUCGUCUUCCUCGCAUCCGUCUCCGUCGUGUAAUCAUCUCCUUCGUCGCCGUCGAAAGAAUCCUCCGGUGAAAGCGUUUCGGUGGCUGAGAUAUUUAUUAGGGAGACACGAACUAAAAAUUGAACUCGAUUGAUUGAAGAUGUUGUCACGAGAGAUCGAAAGAACAUCAGUGAUCAGUCUCGCAGAGCUUUGAUCGACAAGAGAAAUUGCAGGUCUCAAAAGAAAGAAGAAGAAGAAGAUGAAAGAUUGAUUUUUUGUUUUUUGAUUUCUCAACGAAGAAGAAG